Molecule: long non-coding RNA, 644 nt
Organism: Vicia villosa (hairy vetch)
Lineage: Eukaryota; Viridiplantae; Streptophyta; Magnoliopsida; Fabales; Fabaceae
Exons: 3
Source: RefSeq, a predicted model, not a curated record
ACCUAAAUGCUGAUGCAAGUCUGAUUAUUCAUCUCGAAGUGUUUACACAUGGAAGGUGGUAACUUGUGCUAUAUUGAAAGUUGAAUGGAACUGAGAUAGGUGCUGUUAGAACUGUUUGAAGCUUAUUUGCAAUUUAUGACUUGGCAUGAUGAAUCUGUUCUAUAUGGAUGAUUUGUGAGCUUGAAUGAUUAGAAAUGUGUAGGUUGCCGUCAUAAUUGUUAACUGCCAAAUGAACCGAACUGCCUAGCAUAGCAGGGACUGUUUUUUGGCUUUAUGAAUGACAUGGGAAAGGCUUUGGGAUGAAUAACUCAAGAUGGAAUCAUGGAGAUCUUUAUAGUAAAGCAAUAGGCGAAGUCAGGGUGAAGCUGAAUGAAGACAUAGAAAACUAGAGGGAAUAGGUUCUCCUGUAGAUUUUUUUUGUAUUAUUUUUGUAAUGGAGUUUGAAUGAUAAUGGACCUAGCUUUUUAUCCAAAUUUUGUUUUGAUAGACUUUGGUAGUAAGUGUAAUGGGUUUUUGGAUUUUGUAAUGAAAGUCUUUUUUCCUUUUUAAAUGGGUGGAACUUUGGACUAUGGGAAUUGAUUCAAGUGUAAUGAAUUGUAAUGUAUGAAGUGGCUUUUAAAUGUGGGUGUUGACUUUUGAACUAU